UACGGGGGGAGCAAGCGUUGUUCGGAUUUACUGGGCGUAAAGGGCGCGCAGGUGGCGGUGUUGGCCCGGCGUGAAAGCCCCCGGCUCAACCGGGGAGGGUCGUCGGGGACCGCACCGCUUGAGGGCGGUAGGGGCUGGUGGAAUGCCUGGUGUAGUGGUGAAAUGCGUAGAGAUCAGGCGGAACACCCGUAGCGAAGGCGGCCAGCUGGGCCGUCCCUGACACUGAGGCGCGAAGGCGUGGGGAGCGAACGGG
This 253-nucleotide ribosomal RNA is filed under the name uncultured bacterium. RNAcentral describes it as "partial 16S ribosomal RNA". It matches the Rfam family "Bacterial small subunit ribosomal RNA", at positions 524 to 776 of the family's 1533-position model. The record is from RNAcentral.